GGGCCCGCACAAGCGGUGGAGUAUGUGGUUUAAUUCGAUGCAACGCGAAGAACCUUACCAGGGUUUGACAUCCUGCGAAUCUCUUGGAAACAGGAGAGUGCCUCGGACUGGACAGUGACAGGUGGUGCAUGGCUGUCGUCAGCUCGUGUCGUGAGAUGUUGGGUUAAGUCCCGCAACGAGCGCAACCCACGUCUUUAGUUGCCAGCAUUUAGUUGGGCACUCUAGAGAGACUGCCGGUGUUAAGCCGGAGGAAGGCGGGGAUGACGUCAAGUCCUCAUGGCUCUUACGGCCCAGGGCUACAGCACGUACUACAAUGGCAGAAACAGACGGCUGCGAAACCGCGAGGUC
This 348-nucleotide ribosomal RNA is filed under the name uncultured bacterium. RNAcentral's name for it is "bacterial SSU rRNA". It matches the Rfam family "Bacterial small subunit ribosomal RNA", at positions 917 to 1264 of the family's 1533-position model. The record is from RNAcentral.